UACGUAGGGUCCGAGCGUUGUCCGGAAUUAUUGGGCGUAAAGAGCUCGUAGGCGGUCUGUUGCGUCGGUUGUGAAAACCUGGGGCUCAACUCCAGGCCUGCAAUCGAUACGGGCAGACUAGAGUUCGGUAGGGGAGACUGGAAUUCCUGGUGUAGCGGUGAAAUGCGCAGAUAUCAGGAGGAACACCGGUGGCGAAGGCGGGGCUCUGGGCCGAAACUGACGCUGAGGAGCGAAGGCGUGGGGAGCGAACGGG
RNAcentral lists this ribosomal RNA (253 nucleotides) under uncultured bacterium. RNAcentral's name for it is "partial 16S ribosomal RNA". It matches the Rfam family "Bacterial small subunit ribosomal RNA", at positions 524 to 776 of the family's 1533-position model. The record is from RNAcentral.